RNAcentral lists this ribosomal RNA (406 nucleotides) under uncultured bacterium. Its description in RNAcentral is "partial 16S ribosomal RNA". It matches the Rfam family "Bacterial small subunit ribosomal RNA", at positions 30 to 526 of the family's 1533-position model. The record is from RNAcentral.
AUUGAACGCUGGCGGUAGGCCUAACACAUGCAAGUCGAACGAGUGGCGGACGGGUGAGUAAUGUCUGGGAAACUGCCUGAUGGAGGGGGAUAACUACUGGAAACGGUAGCUAAUACCGCAUACCAUCAGAUGUGCCCAGAUGGGAUUAGCUAGUUGGUGGGGUAACGGCUCACCAAGUCGACGAUCCCUAGCUGGUCUGAGAGGAUGACCAGCCACACUGGAAUGGAGACACGGUCCAGACUCUGACGGUAGGCAACAGUGGGGAAUAUUGCAUAAUGGGCGCAAGCCUGAUUCAGCCAUGCCGCGUGUAUGAAGAAGGCCUGCGGGUUUUAAAGUACUUUCAUCUGGGAUGCGUUACCCUCAGAAGAAGCACCGGCUAACUCCGUGCCAGCAGCCGCGGUAAUUC